GCAGGGCAGACGGAGCUCCGUGGCCGGCGCUGCUGGCUGGCUGGCGCCUGAAGUGGUGACAGGCCAACCAUGUGGCCCCCAAGUGGACAUAUGGUCUUUGGGAAUCGUGGGCAUCGAAAUGGUGGAACGAGAAGUUCCUUCCUGGAAUGCAACUCCUGUCUUGAAAAUGUCAGAAUUACAGAUGUACGCACUAAAGUAUCCAAGAUUUCUGUGCAACAGAAAGGCUUUCUCACCUGCAGUUUUCAGUAGAAAAGCAACAAACCUUUGAAAGGCUAAACCUCAACGUAACUGUGACCUUCAAUCAACACUUCCUUCUUCCAAUUUCUUAAGAUCUCUUUGUCCUGGGCACUCAGUAUGGCCUUUUUCCUCAAAGUUCUUUAGCUGUCUUGAAUGCUUACAGCGUAAAAGGUAAUCCCUGAUCUAUUUUCAACUCCCUGCUCAGAUGCACACUGCUGGAAGGGAGCUAGGACUGGUACUGGAGACCUGGCAGCUUGUCCAGGAAGCAAAAUUUUUGAAAUAAUGAAAAUUUGGAGAAGCAUGCAAGUCCAGGUGGUGAACUCAAAUAUGCAAGUACUUGCAGUUUCCUGACAGCACUUUACAGUUCAAGGGUAUGGUCUCUUCUUACUUCUGUCCCUUAAUGCUCAAUCCUUGCCACAUUUCAACUUCUUUUGCAUUGUCAUCUUCUGUGUUUUCUUCCUCUCUUCUUCUCUCUGUGACUUUCUAUGCAGGACAGAUAACCUGUCAUACAGUGUCAGCUUGCUCAGUGACCUGAGUAGUGAUAUGAUGGUGUAGAAAUUGUAGGUGCACAGUAGGCAAACGUGUCAUGCUUCUGUGUGCCCUCUGCCGGCAGACCUGCUUCCCAAACCUUCAGUCAGACUUGGAAAAAAGGCUUGUCACCACUACUUUGUUGUGGUUUAUGCAUUGAUGAAGAAACACUUCCAUCUCAGCCUGCUCAAGCCACUGCAGAGCAGGAGUUGUUGCUUUGGCAGCAGAUGUGCUGGCAGGGUCCUUACAGCUCUGCAAGAUGUGCCUCUCCUAGAACAGAUUUUUGCAUUUUUGUACAAUAAAAAC
Melospiza melodia melodia is the source of this 1071-nucleotide long non-coding RNA. RefSeq lists it as uncharacterized. Lineage: Eukaryota; Metazoa; Chordata; Aves; Passeriformes; Passerellidae. The record is from RefSeq and is a predicted model, not a curated record. The transcript has 3 exons.